Molecule: ribosomal RNA, 454 nt
Filed under: uncultured Porphyromonadaceae bacterium
Lineage: Bacteria; Pseudomonadati; Bacteroidota; Bacteroidia; Bacteroidales; Porphyromonadaceae
Description: partial 16S ribosomal RNA
Rfam family: Bacterial small subunit ribosomal RNA
Source: RNAcentral
ACGGGAGGCAGCAGUGAGGAAUAUUGGUCAAUGGGCGAGAGCCUGAACCAGCCAAGUCGCGUGAAGGAAGACGGUUCUAUGGAUUGUAAACUUCUUUUGCAUGAGGGUAAAGUGACCUACGUGUAGGUUAUUGCAAGUAUCAUGUGAAUAAGCAUCGGCUAACUCCGUGCCAGCAGCCGCGGUAAUACGGAGGAUGCGAGCGUUAUCCGGAUUUAUUGGGUUUAAAGGGUGCGUAGGCGGGCUGUUAAGUCAGCGGUGAAAGUUUGCGGCUCAACCGUAAAAUUGCCGUUGAAACUGGCGGUCUUGAGUGUAAACGAGGUAGGCGGAAUGUGAUGUGUAGCGGUGAAAUGCUUAGAUAUGUCACAGAACUCCGAUUGCGAAGGCAGCUUACCAGGAUACAACUGACGCUGAGGCACGAAAGCGUGGGUAUCAAACAGGAUUAGAUACCCUGGUA